RNAcentral lists this ribosomal RNA (253 nucleotides) under uncultured bacterium. RNAcentral's name for it is "partial 16S ribosomal RNA". It matches the Rfam family "Bacterial small subunit ribosomal RNA", at positions 524 to 776 of the family's 1533-position model. The record is from RNAcentral.
UACGUAGGGACCAAGCGUUGUUCGGAUUUACUGGGCGUAAAGGGCGCGUAGGCGUCGCGGUAAGUCACUUGUGAAAUCUCUGAGCUUAACUCAGAACGGCCAAGUGAUACUGCAGUGCUAGAGUGUGGAAGGGGCAAUCGGAAUUCUUGGUGUAGCGGUGAAAUGCGUAGAUAUCAAGAGGAACACCUGAGGUGAAGACGGGUUGCUGGGCCAACACUGACGCUGAUGCGCGAAAGCCAGGGGAGCAAACGGG